GGUGUUCAAGUUUUACAGAGAAUUUAUAGGUAAGAACCAUAAACCCCUUUUCCUUCCUCUAUUCAAGUUAAAGCCUUAAAACACCAAUCUUCACUUCUUCUCAUUUGGUAAAUUGCAUGUGAGUUUAAUGAAAUUGAGAUACUCUGGAAAUAUAUCAGGAGCAAUGAACAUGGAUACAAGAUGGAAGCUUUGGAAUUUUGAUUGGUGAGUUUUGAAGAAAUUUGGUUUAAACCCGUGUUCUUUGGAAUUCCGAUUGAGAUGUCAUUUGUUUUUGUGGUUAGCUAACUUAAUUCCGGUCGUUGUGACGCCAAUUUCAUAAUUUUGGGUUAGGAAAUGAAGUCUAGGGACAUUUAUGAAGUUGAGGUACUGAAGCUGUCAAGUUGGUGUGUUUUGAGGACUAUGGGUUUGGGUACUCAAGCGGAACAAACAAAUGGUUUUAGGCUUGCGGAAUAACACCGUACUGCUGUUAAAUCAGGUGAGUUCCUUUAGGUAAACUCUCACUUAAUAGAGUAGCUUUAUUAGCUUUUCCCCAAAUUCAUGAUGCAUAUAACUUAGGAUUUUAGG
Molecule: long non-coding RNA, 564 nt
Filed under: Trifolium pratense (red clover)
Lineage: Eukaryota; Viridiplantae; Streptophyta; Magnoliopsida; Fabales; Fabaceae
Description: long non-coding RNA (TPRA_LNC000319)
Source: RNAcentral